GAUGAACGCUGGCGGCGUGCCUAAUACAUGCAAGUCGAGCGAACAGACGAGGAGCUUGCUCCUCUGACGUUAGCGGCGGACGGGUGAGUAACACGUGGAUAACCUACCUAUAAGACUGGGAUAACUUCGGGAAACCGGAGCUAAUACCGGAUAAUAUAUUGAACCGCAUGGUUCAAUAGUGAAAGACGGUUUUGCUGUCACUUAUAGAUGGAUCCGCGCCGCAUUAGCUAGUUGGUAAGGUAACGGCUUACCAAGGCAACGAUGCGUAGCCGACCUGAGAGGGUGAUCGGCCACACUGGAACGGAGACACGGUCCAGACGCCUACGGGAGGCAGCAGUAGGGAAUCUUCCGCAAUGGGCGAAAGCUUGACGGAGCAACGCCGCGUGAGUGAUGAAGGUCUUCGGAUCGUAAAACUCUGUUAUUAGGGAAGAACAAAUGUGUAAGUAACUAUGCACGUCUUGACGGUACCUAAUCAGAAAGCCACGGCUAACUACGUG
RNAcentral lists this ribosomal RNA (497 nucleotides) under uncultured bacterium. Its description in RNAcentral is "partial 16S ribosomal RNA". It matches the Rfam family "Bacterial small subunit ribosomal RNA", at positions 28 to 507 of the family's 1533-position model. The record is from RNAcentral.